RNAcentral lists this ribosomal RNA (460 nucleotides) under uncultured bacterium. RNAcentral's name for it is "partial 16S ribosomal RNA". It matches the Rfam family "Bacterial small subunit ribosomal RNA", at positions 338 to 795 of the family's 1533-position model. The record is from RNAcentral.
CCUACGGGAGGCAGCAGUGAGGAAUAUUGGUCAAUGGGCGCGAGCCUGAACCAGCCAAGCAGCGUGAAGGAAGACUGCCCUACGGGUUGUAAACUUCUUUUAUAAAGGACUAAAGUGAGGCACGCGUGCCUUUUUGUAUGUACUUUAUGAAUAAGGAUCGGCUAACUCCGUGCCAGCAGCCGCGGUAAUACGGAGGAUCCGAGCGUUAUCCGGAUUUAUUGGGUUUAAAGGGUGCGUAGGUGGGUGGUUAAGUCAGUUGUGAAAGUUUGCGGCUCAACCGUGAAAUUGCAAUUGAUACUGGCAGUCUUGAGUAUAGUUGAGGUAGGCGGAAUGCGUGGUGUAGCGGUGAAAUGCUUAGAGAUCACGAAGAACACCGAUUGCGAAGGCAGCUUACUAAGCUGCCACUGACAUUGAUGCUCGAAAGUGUGGGUAGCAAACAGGAUUAGAUACCCUUGUAGUC